Molecule: ribosomal RNA, 758 nt
Filed under: uncultured soil bacterium
Lineage: Bacteria
Description: bacterial SSU rRNA
Rfam family: Bacterial small subunit ribosomal RNA (bases 33-531)
Source: RNAcentral
UAGGGGCGUUCAAGAAGCAGGGGAAACAUCGCCUGGCGGCGUGCCUACCCAUGCAUGUCGAACGAGAAAGAGGGGGGCAACUCCUUGAGUAAAGUGGCGACCGGGUGAUACACGUGACUAACCUACCCUUGAGUGGGGAAUAACCUUCCGAAAGUGAGUGGCUAAUACCUGCAUAACAUCGCGAGGCGAGAUUCCUUGUGAUCAAAAGAGCAAUCUGCUUAAGGAGGGGGUCGCGGCUGAUUAGCUAGUUGGUGAGGUAACGGCUCACCAAGGCGAUGAUCAGUAUCCGGCCCUGAGAGGGCGCCACGGACACACUGGAACUGAAACACGGUCCAGACUCCUACGGGAGGCAGCAGUGGGGAAUUUAGCGCAAUGGGGGAAACCCCUGACGCAGCAACGCCGCGUGCGGGACGACGCCCUUCGGGGUGUAAACCGCUUUUCCCAGGGACGAGACUGACGGUACCUGGGGGAAUAAGCCUCGGGCUAACUACCUGCCCAGGCAGACCGCGGGUAAGACGUUAUGAGGCCGAGCCGUAGUACCGAGAGUUACUGGGACGUUAAAGCGGCGCAGCAGGCAGGUCACGCCAAGGUUCAUCCUGUUUAAAAGCCACUCCGGGCAUCAAACCCGAAGGUAUGGUUAGCCGAGGGUUGAAAACCCCGACGUAGAAACUAUGGAGCGGGUUGGGGAACGAAGGGACCGGGUGGGAAAAUUACCCCGAGAUAAUAACGAGGAUUGGACAAUUGGCCGUUAAGAAAGA